Molecule: long non-coding RNA, 2222 nt
Filed under: Homo sapiens (human)
Lineage: Eukaryota; Metazoa; Chordata; Mammalia; Primates; Hominidae
Description: HSALNT0402975
Source: RNAcentral
UGUCUAUAAUGAACUUCAUUGCUGCUUUUUAAAAAUUUUUCCUUUUGAUAAGAAAUUAAAGACUGAUUUCCUCUCUACAAAAGAAAAUGCCACUUUAUUCCCCAUACACACCCUCUCUCUUAGUAAAACAACUCUGAUUUUUAUAGCUGGGCAUCUUGCCACCCAGUUAAAGAUGUAUUCCCUUGCAGCUAAAUAAGGCCAAGUGACUAUGCUCUUGCCAAUAAUAUGUAAACUGAAGUGUAGCAAGGUACUUUUGGGAAGUCUCUUUAAAAAGCAUCAUUUCUUUUGUAUUUGUCCCUUCAUCUUCCUGCUACUCAAGAUGUGCAUAUAAUGGCAGGCACUUCUGUAGGCAUUUUGGAUCAUGAAAUGUCUUUGAUGGAAACUAAGAAAAGUAGAGAAACAGAAUUGAAGGUUUCACAAUUCUAAAACCUUUGUAAAAGUUUUGUAAAAGGUUUUACAAUUGAAGGUAAUUAAUAUUACACUAUUAAUUAUAGUAAAGGUCAUGCUUCUGUGGAAAAAAAAAAGAGUCCCUUGACAUGAUGGUUCAAACAAGUUAGGAAAGGCAGACUGUGCUUCUCAAAAUCAGCCAGAGAAUCAGACUGGCUGAGCACACUGCCAUCCUCAAUGCAUGGCUUCUAGAUUGCUUUAGCCUUUAUCAUUUGAAGCCAAUAGGAAGCAAGGAGAACAUCAAAGCACAUAAUUAAUGACCGAAAGCAUCCAUCACUUCUGCUCAAAUCAUUUUGGGAAUGUCAUAGUCUUCUUGAUCACACUUGAAUGCUGGGGAAGCUAAGCAGUGUAGUACAACUGGACAAUCAGUUCCUGUGUCCAAGAACUUUUUAAAGACAGUAGGGUAGAAUGCUUACUUGUAAUCAAAAAGCAGUCUCCACCAAAACUGUAGGUCUUCAUAUUCUAUCCAGAUGGUAAAAAGUUAACUUUUCUCUUGUUUAGCUUACUACACGCCGGGCCUUUAUUAUUUAUAGUUGAACAUCAUCUUCAUUGAUAUACCCCUUUUAUGUUUUUUCAAUGAACCUCAUCUGUAAAUCAUUAACUGGAUUAUUAGAUAAGUGCUAAAUAAUCCCCAGCUGUAAAAUUCUAAGAAUAAUUAAAACUUCCUUUCUUAACAUUCUUAGUGAACAACUUACAGGUUAAAAAACAAACCCAAAGAGAUUAUUUCCUGCAAAGAGCCUUUAGUAUGGUAGCACCUACUUCUAGAAGGCCUGUCAUAAACUGUCAUCUAGUGAAAGUGAUGAAGAAGAGUGGCUGGGAGUCAAUCUUAUCAGGAGCUGGAACAGGUGAAGCCCUCACCAGUGAAAAAUCUUGACAGAUGCAGCUACUAAGAUUUCCUACUACAAAGAAUAACAGCAGUUAGAAAAGCAGACUCCCUGUGGUGGCGACCAGUAUCUUCAAACUCAUACCAGAGUAAAGCCUUGUCUCCAGCCUGCUAAUCUACCCUUGCAGAUUUUUUGGACUUGCCAGACUCUAAAAUCAUAUCCAUUUGGAGUUCUUUCUGAUGCAUUAUGUGAGAAAAACAAGCAAACAAAUGAACACUUAUUUGUAUUUGAAUUGCACUAAAUUUAUACAUGAAACUGAAAAAAACUGAUAUCUUUAUGAAGCUGCAUAAUCCUAUCCAAGGACAGACGUCUCCUUCCAUUUGCUUUUGCUUUACUAAUUUGAAUCUAUGUUAUUUGUUUUGGAUACAUCUGGAAUUGACUUUUUUGCAUGGUGUAAGAGCCAGCUCUUCUUCAGGAUAAGCAUGCCUGGUUUCUUCAACUUAUUCCACAAGAGUGAACAAGUAAGAAAUAACAGUUCUUCCUGGAUCAGCCCUCUCCCGUCUGUCAUCUCCAACAGAUACAAAGCCAGCUUUAAGAAGACCAAACCUACAAAAAUCAUUCAUGCUUUCUGCCUCCAUGUUUUUCUUUCCAACCUAGUUCCUCCAGAAAAUGUAAAAGAGCAACCGAACCGUCAACUGGUACAAUGACUUCUACACAUCAGACCUCGGCCACGCCACAGUCAUCAGAUUAUUCUAUCACAGGGUCUCUCAACCGUGGAAUAUGGUCUCCAAGGGAAACAAGCCACAGAGGGCUCAGGAGCAUUGCUAUAAAGAGUAGGCAAAUGGAAAUCUUUCCCCAAAGGGCACACUGGGAUUGUUAGGCGAGGGCUGCUCAAUCCAUUAAAAGUUUAAACUCGAAAAAAAAAAAGAAAAAAAAAACCUUUUGAAAAAA